AGCAAUACACGAGUGGCGCACGGGUGAGUAACACGUGGAUAUCUGCCUUUUGGUUCGGAAUAACCCUGGGAAACUAGGGCUAAUACCGAAUGGUUCCUACGGGAUAAAGAUUUAUCGCCAAAAGAUGAGUCCGCGUCCGAUUAGCUAGUUGGUGAGGUAAUGGCUCACCAAGGCGACGAUCGGUAGCUGGUCUGAGAGGACGAUCAGCCACACUGGGACUGAGACACGGCCCAGACUCCUACGGGAGGCAGCAGUGGGGAAUAUUGGACAAUGGGGGCAACCCUGAUCCAGCCAUGCCGCGUGAGUGAUGAAGGCCUUCGGGUUGUAAAGCUCUUUUGGCGGGGACGAUGAUGACGGUACCCGCAGAAUAAGCCCCGGCUAACUUCGUGCCAGCAGCCGCGGUAAGACGAAGGGGGCUAGCGUUGUUCGGAAUUACUGGGCGUAAAGCGAGUGUAGGCGGUUAUCCAAGUCAGGUGUGAAAGCCUUGAGCUCAACUCAAGAAAUGCACUUGAUACUGGGUGACUAGAGGACCGGAGAGGAUAGUGGAAUUCCCAGUGUAGUGGUGAAAUACGUAGAGAUUGGGAAGAACACCAGUGGCGAAGGCGGCUAUCUGGACGGUUACUGACG
This 627-nucleotide ribosomal RNA is filed under the name Reyranella sp. RNAcentral describes it as "bacterial SSU rRNA". It matches the Rfam family "Bacterial small subunit ribosomal RNA", at positions 83 to 745 of the family's 1533-position model. The record is from RNAcentral. Lineage: Bacteria; Pseudomonadati; Pseudomonadota; Alphaproteobacteria; Hyphomicrobiales; Reyranellaceae.